GAUGAACGCUGGCGGCGUGCUUAACACAUGCAAGUCGAACGGAAAGGCCGAAGCUUGCUUCGGUACUCGAGUGGCGAACGGGUGAGUAACACGUGGGUGAUCUGCCCUGUACUUCGGGAUAAGCUUGGGAAAUUGGGUCUAAUACCGGAUAUGACGAUCUCUUGGAUGGGGUUGUGGAAAGCUUUUGCGGUAUGGGAUGAGCUCGCGGCCUAUCAGCUUGUUGGUGGGGUAAUGGCCUACCAAGGCGUCGACGGGUAGCCGGCCUGAGAGGGUGUACGGCAACAAUGAGGCUGAGGAAAGGCCCAGACAACUACGGGAGGAAGCAGUGGGGAAUAUUGAACAAUGGGCGCAAGACUGAUGCAACGACACGGCGUGGGGGAUGAAGGCCUUCGGGUUGUAAACUCCUGUAGCAAUGGACGAAGACUUUUGGUGACGGUAGGUUGAGAAGAAGCACCGGCUAACUACGUG
This 468-nucleotide ribosomal RNA is filed under the name uncultured bacterium. Its description in RNAcentral is "partial 16S ribosomal RNA". It matches the Rfam family "Bacterial small subunit ribosomal RNA", at positions 28 to 507 of the family's 1533-position model. The record is from RNAcentral.